This is a long non-coding RNA of Triticum dicoccoides, 833 nucleotides long. RefSeq lists it as uncharacterized. The record is from RefSeq and is a predicted model, not a curated record. The transcript is spliced from 3 exons. NCBI's taxonomy places the organism in Eukaryota, Viridiplantae, Streptophyta, Magnoliopsida, Poales, Poaceae.
CAGUUACUGUUGUGUUUAUCUCAAAGUCUAAUACUAGCAUAUGAUGUAUCGGUGUAACAUUAAGUCCACGAGGAACUGAGGAUUGAGGAAAUUGAUGAUCAUUCAGUCAUCGAGGACUUGGAAAGAGGCAUCGGGGCAACAAAUGGGACAGUAUUUUGAUCUCAUUUCACACAUUCAAUAAUUGUUUUGUCUUUAUUAGUUACAUGGCAUUUUAUUAAUUAUUUAUAUAUGCUUGCCUCAUCGCCAUAUGGCUGUUUCUAGAAAUUGUUGUAUUGUAUCCCUUAUUCCCUUGUCCCUGUAUUACUAUUGCUGUUUCAUGUCUCUGUUGUUCCCACCGGUGUGGCCUCAUAGUUUUCUGAGCAAGAAACACAAUCUGGAUAAGAAAAAGUCAAGUUCAUCUGCUGGAAUUGAAGUUGACAAAAGUAGCUAGAAGUGAUUCUUUUUUCAGGGAGGAAAAAUGGCAAGCGCAAGUGGCAAGGGAUCUCUCAUUUUCUUCCAGCACUAACCUAUCUAUGCACGAAACCUCUCACGCACCUGUAACUACAUUGAUAAAGGGGAUGAUGAAGGGACUUUUGUCCAUAGAAGAGUUGUUGCAAAGGGAACAUGCAAAAGAGGACGAGGAACCAAGAAGUCGACAGUUCAUGUCAACUGGAUAUUUUCUGGAUUUUUUCUAAUGGUGACUGAAUUGUUGGUGAUGCAUUUUAGCCAUCAUUUUGUAAACUUAUGGUUUCUUGGACAGUGAACCAUAAUGUUUGUUCUAUUUAAUUAGUUACCUUAAUUUAUGUGAAACUUGGAUGGUAAUUAUGCCCAUAGCGGAUGAACUAUUUAUAUGG